Molecule: ribosomal RNA, 257 nt
Filed under: uncultured bacterium
Lineage: Bacteria
Description: partial 16S ribosomal RNA
Rfam family: Bacterial small subunit ribosomal RNA
Source: RNAcentral
GGUCUACGGGGCGCAGCAGUAGGGAAUCUUCCACAAUGGACGAAAGUCUGAUGGAGCAACGCCGCGUGAGUGAAGAAGGGUUUCGGCUCGUAAAGCUCUGUUGGUAGUGAAGAAAGAUAGAGGUAGUAACUGGCCUUUAUUUGACGGUAAUUACUUAGAAAGUCACGGCUAACUACGUGCCAGCAGCCGCGGUAAUAAGUAGGUGGCAAGCGUUGUCCGGAUUUAUUGGGCGUAAAGCGAGUGCAUGCGGAUCAAAA